Paramuricea clavata is the source of this 2127-nucleotide non-coding RNA. NCBI's taxonomy places the organism in Eukaryota, Metazoa, Cnidaria, Anthozoa, Malacalcyonacea, Plexauridae. The record is from the annotation of a GenBank genome assembly.
GUAAAAUCUUUUUCAAGGUUGAGGAUAAGAUCUAGGUACUGGAUACACUAAAGAGUCGAAAGCAUACCUUUUUUAUCUUUCUUAAAAAGCUUCUGCGAUUGUCUAUUGGCUGUCAGCAGUCCAAGUAACAUCAAGAAGAUGUUAGAUGACAACAGUAAAUUGCAUGAAAGUUUCAUCGUGUGUUUUCGAAUAUGGGCAAUCUAUAUGGAUGAUAUAAAACAUACCUUUUGAGCUGAAGGUUUUCUGGUUUUGUUGUCAUGAUUCGGUGGACUUGUCACAUUACAUUACAUUAUUAUUCAGGGGCUGUUCCGUGAUCGAUCACAUCAAGUAUUUUACGCUUAUUUUAGGCUGUAUUGAGCUGAACGUGUUUACCCAUACAUGGUGUAUAAAAAAACUGAACAGUUUUGAAUCUCCUCUCAUUUUCGCAAAACAGCUAUUAGUAUCCAGUUUUUGAUGUAUAUAGCUUCUUUGGGUACUUAUAAUGUAGAAUAAUGGGGAAAAAUAUUGUGAACCAGGGGGGGGGGGGGGUGUCUUUCCAACAAACUAAAAUUGGGUUGUGCACGAAAUUUAAAAGCUUUAAUCAUAUUUUGAGUUAAUAGAUGGAAACUUUGUUUGGUUUUUAAUUACUGUACAAAAUUUCAGACAAUUUGCUUUAGUUUAAGCCCUUUAACUAUUCACGCAAACUUACAUUUUUUCCUAAAAAUCAGCUAUUUUCAUGUUUAAUUUAUGCCUUUGGCUAAUUGCAUAUGUCAGCAAUAUGCCAAUUAGGUAAAGGCAUUAAUUAAGCAUGCGAAAGGCUGAUUUUUUAGGAAAAAAUGAAUAGCCGCCAAAAAGCCUAAACUAAAGCAAAUUGUCUGAAAUUUUGUACAGUAAUUAAAAACCCGACAAAUUUUCCAUCUAUUAGCUCAAAAUAUGAUUAAAGCUUUUAAAUUUCGCGCGCAAGCCAUUUUUAGUUUGUUGGAAAAGAAACACACCCCUGGUUCACAAAAUUUGAGUUCGAGAAUUUUUUUCAUUAUUCCACAUUAUAAGUACCCAAAUAAGCUAUAUACAUCAAAAACUAGAUACUAAUGGCUGUUUUGCAAAAAUAAAGAGCAAUUUCAAUCUAUAGACUGAUAGCCGAAAGCUCGUAGAAAUAAAUAUUAAGUCAGAGAACGUUCAAUAAAUAAUGUUUCAACAUGGCUACGCAUCCUCUAUUGUUUCAAUUUCAAAUCUGUUCAGUUUUUUCUUAUACACCCUGUAUAGGUGUUUGCCGAUAUUUAAAUACAACUAUAUUGAACGUGGAUGUUUCUUCGAAGUCAAAGUAAUGUAUUUUUAUGAUGGUAUAAUAUUCUAGCAGUAUUAAUGUACUCAAUGAUCGCUAAAUUCAUUAUUUUUUUAAGAGAAUAGUCGAUGAGUUGACGUAAGGUAGAAGAGCGCUCAGUACCAUAAUAAGUAGAGCAUAAUUCAUUCAGACUAGGUUUGAAUGUUUGCGUCGUUACUCUGGGUUUCACGCUUUACGCGAUCAUCAGGCAACUGACAGAUAUAAUUCAAUAUUCAUAAUAAAUACAGGUUAUCAUUUUACAACUUGAUUAAAGCAGGUAUCUGGUUACAUGUCUACAUUUGGAAAACAAGUCUGAGCGUUUGUUCAGGUAUAUAUAUAUAUAUAUAUUUAUAAUAUAGUCAUCCACCGUAUAUGAGCUGUUCUGCAAUCUGAUUGGUUGAAUUACUCGCCGUAUAUCAGCUCAUAUACGUCGAGUAGCGAAAAACAAGAUGGCGGUCCAAAAACUACAUGAGCUUUGCGAAGCAGAAAAAGGAAAAUAUUCGCUUUGAGAAACAUAAUAUUACAAGGAAAAACUUUCAAAAAAAAUUUGACAGGUUAGCAAAAUACAUUUAUUACGUAGAAAUUAGUUUAAAUACAAGUUUUUCAAAGAAUUAAUACCGAAACAACAGCGAAAAAAACAUGUUCAUUGAGAAUAUAAAUUGUUCAGAAAAGUUUGCAAUGAACGACAAAUGAAUUUACAGUCAACAAGCACUUACUAUAGUACCAAACAUCUGUAUAAUAUAUCUGAGCUUUCCUGUGAGAUAUAGAGGUUCUAAAACCAUUUCUUUCACUUCGUCUUCGAGUUGUAAAACAAAAGUAUUUCAAAU